AGCAGCCGCGGUAAUUCCAGCUCCAAUAGCGUAUAUUAAAGUUGUUGCAGUUAAAAAGCUCGUAGUUGAAUUUCGGGGUUAGUAGGUUGGUCAUGCCUCUGGUAUGUACUGGUCUCACUGAUUCCUCCUUCCUGAUGAGCCGUAAUGCCAUUAAUUUGGUGUUGCGGGGAAUUUGGACUGUUACUUUGAAAAAAUUAGAGUGUUUAAAGCAAGCUAACGCUUGAAUACAUUAGCAUGGAAUAAUGAAAUAGGACGUUCGAUCCUAUUUUGUUGGUUUCUAGGAUUGACGUAAUGAUUAAUAGGGAUAGUUGGGGGCAUUAGUAUUCAAUUGUCAGAGGUGAAAUUCUUGGAUUUAUUGAAGACUAACUACUGCGAAAGCAUUUGCCAAGGAUGUUUUCAUUAAUCAAGAACGAAAGUUAGGGGAUCGAAGACGAUCAGAUACCGUCGUAGUCUUAACCAUAAACUAUGCCGACUAGGGAUCGGAUGAUGUUAAUUUUUAAUGACUCAUUCGGCGCCUUAA
RNAcentral lists this small RNA (520 nucleotides) under uncultured Glomus. Its description in RNAcentral is "SSU rRNA". It matches the Rfam family "Eukaryotic small subunit ribosomal RNA", at positions 569 to 1091 of the family's 1831-position model. Lineage: Eukaryota; Fungi; Glomeromycota; Glomeromycetes; Glomerales; Glomeraceae. The record is from RNAcentral.